Molecule: long non-coding RNA, 6592 nt
Organism: Penaeus indicus
Lineage: Eukaryota; Metazoa; Arthropoda; Malacostraca; Decapoda; Penaeidae
Exons: 2
Source: RefSeq, a predicted model, not a curated record
UUCAUGCAGUUGGUCUGAGGACACCUUAGGAUGUAGAUACCCUCAUAUAGUGUAUGAAGUUAAACAUAUUAAUGAUCUGUGUGAGGUAUUACUUUGAUGCAGAGACAAGGUGAAGACCAUGUAAUUUGUGCAUCAUAUUUGUUAGUCCCUACUUUUCAUAUUAUUUAUUUAUUUAUUUUUUUACCAUAUUCUUCCAAUUUUCAUUUUAAAUCAUCAUCCUUAGUACAAUUCUCAUGGGCAUAGAUAAAUUUGGGAAGACCUAGGUUUUCUUUGAUAUAAGGGUGAAGAAUGAUGUAAAAGAUUAAUAUUCUCUUUAUUUAUUUUAGAAGUUGCAUUUAUAUAUACUUUUUCUGAUAACUGAUUCCCAUAAUAAAUUUUGGGAGAGUUCUCAAUUUUUUUUUGUCUUAGAAUCUCUGCCUCUGUUGCAUUGCUAUUCCUUCAUUGUAUUCUUAUAUUGUUACAAAAUUCCUGUCAGUACCACAACAUGACAGAUUUUUAGUAUGAUUGACACAAAGUCCUCAAAAAUCAUUGUCACUUGAAAUUAACUCAUUAAUGCUGUGUAUAUGCACUGCCCACUGUUAACAUUUUCUGUAUUCUUGGGGUCUGUUGUGUGUGGUUGUGCAUACAUAGUUGUGUAUAAGUGCAUAAUUCUGUACAAAUGUAUAGUCAUUUGAUUUUUUCUCUUGUACUUCCACAUUUUUCUCUGCUUCUCCAUAUUACAUCUAAUAGCAUAUGAUUAAUAAAACCACACACACACACACAAAAAUUAUAUAUAUAUAUAUUAAAUAUGUUAUUUAAUUGGUAUAUCAUAUGCAUGUUAGUCCCAGGUUACAUGAAUUUAUCAUAUGGAUAUACAAUACAAUAGCUAAUUGUGUUUCAUUUGAUGUUCAGUCAGUCUGAAAGGAGAGUUUUUAUUGAGGUUAAUGUUGUAAUGCAGUCAUUCACAUUAGAUUUAUAUUUACUGAAAUAUGACAUUCAUGUAGCAGGGUGACUUUCAAGAACUAGCCAAAUUUGUAUAGGUCGCUUCACAAAACAUUUCUUUGGUACUUAAGACAUUUAUGGUUAUUGAAAUCUCAGUCUUUUCCUCUUUCUGAAAUGCCCUCAACCUUUUCUUAGUAUGGUGAUGGUAGAGUGCUCUUUCCUUCUUCUCCUCUUCCUCUUCCUCUUCCUUUUCCUCUUCCUCCUUCCCUUCCCCUUCUUCUAUAUUCUUGUGUAAAUAGUUUUGGUACAAGUCUAUGGUAAAGGUCUAUUGAUAAUGGUUUAUCUCUCCCUCAGAGGCCCUCAUACCUAUGGUUCUGACAUUGUGGCUCAUCCGAUCACCACCAUUUCCAUCUCAACAGCCCAUCCAUGACUGCUUCUUGAAUAUCACACUUGAGAAAUCAAGCAGGUCUCUGUCAGAGGUCAAGGAGAAUUUUUUUUUUUUUUUCUAAAGCCAAAAUACUCUUCCCCCCUACUGAAUUUUAACUAAAUGUUUGAACUUGGCUUGCACUUAAAAAAAAAAAAAAACACUCAAAAGAGAAUAAAGAGAGAGAACUGUUGUAGUAAAGUUAAUGAGUGUGAAAAAAAAUAACGGUCUGCACGUGGAAGAGCACAAGAUUCCCAGGAUCCUGGCAUAGAGAGAUAUGUGCCUUUUGAUCACAUAGUUGAUUCUGACAUUGUCUAGAAUUCCUGCUUAUCCUUGUUCAUAACCUUUGCAUUUACACUGUUAGUGACUUGCUUCAUAAGACAGUAUGUUAGGAUACUGAUUGUGAGGAUACCAAGAACCCUUAGCUAGCAAGUGCUAGUAUAUAUUUCACUCUUUUUUUUAUGUUCUGAUACCAUGUCAUAUAUUAUUUAAUGACUCAUGGUAUAUGAAUGUUACUAUGAUAACUCUUUCUUUUUUAUAUUAUUUUCCUUUUCCCUUUUUUCUUUGUAGUAAUCUUCUAGAAAUGACCUUGACAAAGAGAGAAAGAAAAAAGAAAAAAAAAAAAAGUUGAUGUGUCUCAUAACUAAGAGAUUACAAUGAAUGUGCACACUUGACAUUGUCUUUUGUAGUAUAUUGCAAAGGGGUUAGACUAGUUUUCUUAUUUAUUCAUUCACAGUCUCUUUUGCAGGAAGAGGAAGACAAAGAUCUUGGAGAUUUUGAGAAGAAUUGGAAGUUUGAUUUUGAUGAAGGUGAAAAGGAAUAAUUCAGGAUAGAAUGACCACGAGGGAAUUUUGCAAUUUUAUACAAAGAGAUAACAGAAAGAAAAAUGGAAUGGAACAUUUAAAUUCACCUAUUUAUAAUAUAAACGAUAGACCAGUUGUCUGUGCUUGUGAAACAAUGAGUGGCAUUCAGGAGAGAGAAAUGAACCCGAGCAUAUAUUCCCUCUUCGUAUAUUGUGUGUAAGAGAAACGUCAGAAUGGACACUUUUAUUAUAUUUCUCAUAUUUGAGGAGUUCAUUUGAUUUCUGACACUUUAUGCAAAUAUUUGAUUGAUGUAAUCGUGUUGCUCUUCAGAGUGACUGCAAUUGUGAAUACAUCAUUACAGUUUAUUGUUUUCAUCAUCAUAAUCAUCAUUAUCAUGAAUGUUUAGAACAAAACAUUUUUCAGCUACAUUUGUAUAGUAAUUAUUAUUUCUCACAUGUCUAUAGUAGAAUGUGUCGAAGAUGGGUAAAUUGGAGCGUGAUAAUCUUUGUUGAAUCAGUCAUUGCUGUGUGGUCAUCAAUCAGUGAUGUCACGCAGUUUGUCAUCAGAAUGUCUUGUGAAUGAAUGUUCAUCAACUUUCUCCUUACUGAUUUUAAAAAGGCAAAGGUAAAAUUCUAGGAGAUUUAACCCUAGUAUGAAUUUUAAGAAUAAAAAAAUACAAAAUGUUGAUUCAUAUGUUCUCCAAAAACUGCAGUGAUUCUGUGGAAGAUUUUUUUUGAAAGAUACAAAACACUCUUGCCUUUUAGACCAAACUGACCAUAGCUCAUACCAGCAUUGCAGAGCUUCAUUAGUUUCAGAAUAUCAUUUUGUCACCAGUAAUAUUUAAGAGGCUGAAAGUUCAUUUCAUUUCAUUUUUCAUUCUUUCUUUCAUUCGAGUUUUACAUUAAUAAUGGUCAUGCAUUGUAAGAAAGCAGACAAGAGUAUCCUCCACAGUUUCACCAGUUUAGUUGGCUUUGACAUCUGUGCCCUUCAGGUAUAUUCAUUUUUUUACAAAAAAUCACUGCCUGUUGAAACCCAUUGUCUGAUAUAUGUUAAUGUUUGCCAUGAUGAAUACCUUGUGUGUGUUUCAUAUUGGAAUAGUAUGUAUUAUAUUGUACAGUAGACGAAAUCGGUAAGAGACUUCAGUGCUGUUUCAUAUGAUUCAGAAUAGUAUUAAUAUGUGUUUAACACUGAAGAAGAAUGAAUUAUGAGACACAAAUGCUGGAUGACCUCUUUUGCUUGGAAAGAGAAGAAAACUCACUUCAAGAUGGUUGUAGAGUUUGUAGUUUCUUUAAUUUUCACUUUGUUAAGAGGGUCCUUUUUAUACAGUAACCAUCUCUUUAUUUUGCCUUGGUGCCAAAUAUGUACGUGGACUUGUUUCCUUUUUUUAAUUUUUUUUCUGAUUCAUGCUUUUAUCUUUUUGUGAAAGAUUUCAGUUGUCAGGGGAGGAGGCUGGCAGUAUGAGAAAUAGGAAUAUGAGGUUUGUGGGUCCUUUGUCCUUUCAAGCAGAGAGGUCCAGCAUAUCCCAACUAGACAUUUCCUAUUUGGAAACUAUGUUACUUAAUGGGAAGUGUCCAAAUUACAUGAACACUUUAAAAAAAAUAUAUGUAUUGUAAUAAAAAGAAAGGAAGAAAAUUGCUAACUGAGCAUGUAUUUGUUUCUUUCAAGUCAUCUCUUAAGAAUUUUUGAACAUUUGAAACCCUUGCUUUUUUGUAAAAAACAUGGGCUAGCUUGCUAGUUUAAACAAAAAAAAAGAAUUAAAACUUAAUGUUGAUGUGUAUUUCUUAACAGAAAUGUUUGGUUAGUGCUAGACUGUCAAGAUGUAACUUUCACUGAGUGGUAGCAUCAUAAGGAUGGUGAAGAACUAGUGUAAACUAAUGAUUUCAACCAACAGUGACUGAAAAGAUGGUGUUCAUGUUACAGAGCCUAUAUUAGGAAUUUUUGAAAUUGAUAAAAAUGUACUCUUUUUAUCAAUAAUUGAAAACAUUGAUUUGCGGUGGCAAGAUUAUUGAUAUUAGUAUCGAAUUCACACUUCCCAAUGGGAAUUUUCUUUUAUUUAACCUCUUUGUUUACUAGGUGUACUUUGUUUUGCAAAAUCCUGUGCGGUAGGAUGGUGUAGAUUUUACAUUUGAUAUUUUCUGCAUAUGGUCAUUUGCAUUUGCUUGUAAUUAACAGAUAACAUUUUGAAAUUCAAGUUUUGGGGUCUUGCAGCAUGACAUAGUUACUGUCAUCUGUAAUUAUUAUUAUUUUUUUUUUCAUCAUACUGCAUCUUAGUCCAUCUGUUUAUAGAUGUGAAGCAUAUUCUCAAGAAUGAUUCCACUAUGAUAUAACAGUUGCCUACACUGUUCACUGCAGACACACCUCAGAAUGUAAUGCAUAGCUUGACUUCCAUAUGUUCUUUGUCAUGACUAACAAGGGCUCGAGAGUCUUUAGAAUUUGGAUUAAGUAUUAUUUGCAAUAUUUUUAAGCCAUUAAUGUUUGCAGUCUUUACUGUUUAGAAGUAGCAGCUGUUCAGAAACUGCUACCACAGAAUGAAUAUAUAUCAAUAUUUGCAUGUAUAGAUUAGUUUUAGUUUUGAAAAUGUUACAGGUAAUCCACUUUGCCUCAAUUAAAAGGAUCUGUGGUUUCACCACAGACUAGCAAAACGUUCAUAUCAUCAAGGUUGCUUUUUUAAUCUUGACUUAGUCACUGAAGGCAACAUUUGUAAUCAAAUAAUUUUGUGGAUAUUUCUGGAGAUGUUUUCAGCAAAGAGAAAUCCUCCACAAGUAUUCAAAGACAUUUUAUUUUAUUUCAUCUAAGGUAUAUCAACUGGUUGCCAAUCAGAAAGUAUAUCUUACCAAUGUUCUUCUUGUCCAACAAAGGCAAAUCAGCAAGGAGGUGUUCUUAACUAUAGCUUUUCUGUCAAUGUUAACAAUGUAUGUAUAUAUUCAGUUUGUAAUUUGUCUGUCAUAGGGAGCAGAGAACUCACUUUGCUGAAUAGUGGUAAAGCUAAUUCAUACUUUGGGAUCAGCUGUUAUGAGCAGUGUUAAAUACACCUCUUAUCCAUCAUACUUUUAAAUGAGGAACAGGUAAAAUUACAGUGCUUUAAAAAAAUAAAUGCAUAAAGAGAAAAAAGUGAUUUACCUUGGAUUGGACAAAGAAUGUUGAAAGUGGUUUAUGAUUAAACACUUAGACUGGUAAUGUUAGUGACUCAAGAGUAGGUGGGUUUAGUAAAGUGGGCUAAGUGUGUUACAUUAAAAAAAAAAAAAGAGGUUCUUCUGUGGAAUGAAAUGGUAAUCAACUUUGGUUCUGUUUUUGCUGAGGAUGAGGUGGGUAGUGCGCUCCAAAGCUCAUAAUGGUUGGUCUCGUCACAUGGUGUGGUGAAGCCAGAGAUGCAGCCAGGUGUAGAACCCUGUUUGUAGUGGUUAGUGGCCGUUACAUGGUCUUAUAGAAGCUUUUUAUCUAUGUCCUUUUUGCAAAUGAUACAAUAUUAUAUCGUAAAGUGAAAGGUAGGAUUGUUAAUAUUUUGAUUUUCAAUGAAAGUAUGGUAUCCUUGAGGUAUUAUGUGUUACCUCUGUAUUGCAGUGUUACCUUUUCUGUGAAAUGGAAUUAUCUAUUGGGCUUUGUAUUAGCCUGAAGAAAAUGUUAGAACUCCUUAUAGGAAUACAAUGACAUUUUGGUCAAAUUUUUGUGCACAUUAAAUACCUCCUAAUCCAAACUUUCAUCACAGUAACACAUUAAAGCUUGUUAAGAAUAAAAAUACAAAAAAAAAAAACAAGAAAAUGACACAAAAAAUAACAUACAAUCUAGGUGUGUUUAACAUAUCUUGGUUGUGUUUAGUGCUGACGGUGCUGCAUUUGACACAGCCUGUAAUAAAACAGAUGCAGAAUACAGGUGAAGGAGGUUUUCAGAUGUGUUUCCUGGUAGCAACUCUGGUCUGGUGGAUAGGGUCUCACAGUGAGAAGUUUGGGGACCUUUCUGUGUUGUCUGUGUAGCCGCAACAAACGGACAGAAAGAAACAUGUGCCUCAUCCAAUUGGAAACUCUGAACUGAUUUAUAGUUUGUAGUAGUGUUUUUACAAAAAAAAGAUUUAUUUUGAAAAAAAAAAUUCUCUCUUUUUUUUUUGGUAGCUUAUGAUUUAAAAUUUUAUUAUUGUUAUUAAUAUUUUGCAGUAGCCAUUUUAGUUACCGAGAAAUUGAACUUGAAGGAGUUUAUUAAAUGAUUUAUGUAUAGUUUGUUUGAAGAAAAGGAAAAAAAAAGCAGAUUCUCCAUAUCAUUGUAUAAGGCUUAGAUUAGAAUUGAUGAAGUACUGUACAAACUAGAUAAAACUGUCUUGUUUGUUGAGGAGCCCGACAUCAUGGAAAGGUCUCACGCAGAUGUUAGCAUGUUGCACAUGUAUUAUUACGAUUAUAUUAAUCAAUAUUAUGUCAUGUAAUUGCCUAUGAAAUAAAUCACUCAUGUCAAUUUA